Molecule: ribosomal RNA, 468 nt
Filed under: uncultured bacterium
Lineage: Bacteria
Description: partial 16S ribosomal RNA
Rfam family: Bacterial small subunit ribosomal RNA
Source: RNAcentral
GACGAACGCUGGCGGCGUGCUUAACACAUGCAAGUCGAACGGAAAGGCCCUGCUUUUGUGGGGUGCUCGAGUGGCGAACGGGUGAGUAACACGUGAGUAACCUGCUCUUGACUUUGGGAUAACUUCAGGAAACUGGGGCUAAUACCGGAUAGGAGCUCCUGCUGCAUGGUGGGGGUUGGAAAGUUUCGGCGGUUGGUGAUGGACUCGCGGCUUAUCAGCUUGUUGGUGGGGUAGUGGCUUACCAAGGCUUUGACGGGUAGCCGGCCUGAGAGGGUGACCGGCCACAUUGGGACUGAGAUACGGCCCAGACUCGUACGGGAGGCAGCAGUGGGGAAUAUUGCACAAUGGGAGGAAGCAUGAUGCAGCAAAGCCGCGUGCGGGAUGACGGCAUUCGGGUUGUAAACCGCUUUCGCCUGUGACGAAGCGUGAGUGACGGUAAUGGGUAAAGAAGCACCGGCUAACUACGUG